This 385-nucleotide long non-coding RNA is filed under the name Nicotiana benthamiana. RNAcentral's name for it is "long non-coding RNA (NBEN_LNC031517)". The record is from RNAcentral. Lineage: Eukaryota; Viridiplantae; Streptophyta; Magnoliopsida; Solanales; Solanaceae.
CGAGAAGAUGUUUAAAAACUCAUGGCAAGCAUGGAUCUAAGGUUGAUCUGUGAGAAGUUGAAACGGUCUUAAAGAUUAGGGUUUUAGAAGAACCCAAAAGCCUUGAAAGUUAACGAUAUAACCAGGGAAAUCAAAGGUCUAACUCGAAUGGUCAUGCUGGCCGGAGAAAGGCCAAGGAUGACCGGAGAAGGUGUCAUAGAGCAAAGACUGAACCAAAUCCCUUCAAAAUCUGGUUAUGAGACCACAGAACCAAAGGCAUAGAAGACCUGGAAGGCUGGUAUAGGUCUCUGAUGACCUUAUAAGGCCAUGAAUUAGGAUGGAUUAGGGUGGCGGUGGCUAGGGUUUGAGGGAGUUUCAAAGAGUAUUUGAGUGAGAAGAAAAGUCA